RNAcentral lists this transfer RNA (72 nucleotides) under Camelus bactrianus (Bactrian camel). It matches the Rfam family "tRNA". From Rfam's summary of the family: Transfer RNA (tRNA) molecules are approximately 80 nucleotides in length. Their secondary structure includes four short double-helical elements and three loops (D, anti-codon, and T loops). Further hydrogen bonds mediate the characteristic L-shaped molecular structure. tRNAs have two regions of fundamental functional importance: the anti-codon, which is responsible for specific mRNA codon recognition, and the 3' end, to which the tRNAs corresponding amino acid is attached (by aminoacyl-tRNA synthetases). tRNAs cope with the degeneracy of the genetic code in two manners: having more than one tRNA (with a specific anti-codon) for a particular amino acid; and 'wobble' base-pairing, i.e. permitting non-standard base-pairing at the 3rd anti-codon position. Lineage: Eukaryota; Metazoa; Chordata; Mammalia; Artiodactyla; Camelidae. The record is from Rfam by way of RNAcentral. RNAcentral also lists the same sequence under 2 other names.
GAGGGUAUAGCUCAGUGGUAGAGGGUAUGCUUAGUGUGCAUGAGAUCUUAGGUUUAAUCCCCAGCACCUCCA